Molecule: long non-coding RNA, 400 nt
Organism: Sitophilus oryzae (rice weevil)
Lineage: Eukaryota; Metazoa; Arthropoda; Insecta; Coleoptera; Curculionidae
Exons: 2
Source: RefSeq, a predicted model, not a curated record
UGUUUUAUAUAUAAAGAUGGGACACUCUUACCAUUACCAGUUUUUCAAACUAAUUCUAUUUACAUAUAACAAAACAAAAAUAAAAUCAAAAUACAAAAAAUUUGAUUAUCAGUUUUAACGGUUAAAACCAUGGACCAAACGACACAUGAACAGAUCGACCAAUUUAGUAGACCGUUAGAUUUUUUAAUAUACCCUAAAUACCGACAAAUAAUCUUAGAUGGUUUUCCCUUUAGUGGAGACAAGCAAGAUUAUAAGCCAGUAGUCGAAUUGUUUGAUAUAGUAGACGCAAAAACACCAGAUUGGAAUGAAAUAAACCAGGCAAUGGAGAAAAUACCUGAUCGUCUACAUUUUAAGAAAGUAUAUUUUAAGAAAGAUGAUACCGGUGAUAACGCUAUAAAAA